This 399-nucleotide ribosomal RNA is filed under the name uncultured bacterium. RNAcentral describes it as "bacterial SSU rRNA". It matches the Rfam family "Bacterial small subunit ribosomal RNA", at positions 30 to 429 of the family's 1533-position model. The record is from RNAcentral.
AUUGAACGCUGGCGGCAGGCCUAACACAUGCAAGUCGAGCGCGAAAAUUUCUUCGGGAAUGAGUAGAGCGGCGGACGGGUGAGUAACGCGUAGGAAUCUGCCCGGUAGUGGGGGACAACAGUCGGAAACGACUGCUAAUACCGCAUACGCCCUAAGGGGGAAAGCAGGGGAUCUUCGGACCUUGCGCUAUCGGAUGAGCCUGCGUCGGAUUAGCUUGUUGGUGGGGUAAUGGCCUACCAAGGCGACGAUCCGUAGCUGGUCUGAGAGGAUGAUCAGCCACACUGGGACUGAGACACGGCCCAGACUCCUACGGGAGGCAGCAGUGGGGAAUAUUGGACAAUGGGGGGAAACCCUGAGUCCAGCCAUGCCGCGUGUGUGAAGAAGGCCUUCGGUUGUAAG